Long non-coding RNA from Myotis myotis, 4018 nucleotides. RefSeq lists it as uncharacterized. The record is from RefSeq and is a predicted model, not a curated record. Lineage: Eukaryota; Metazoa; Chordata; Mammalia; Chiroptera; Vespertilionidae. The transcript has 3 exons.
GUCUCGGGACCCUGAGUCAUCGCCGCCCCCGCCGGGCCACGCCGUCUGUUUGUGCAGCGCCGGCCCCGCUGGCCCGGCCUGACGUCAAACCGGCGGGGCCAGGAACCGCGGGGGGCGGCCGCUGGGGACCGGACGUCGCUCCAGGGCCGGGGAGGCGACCGCAGUGCAGGGCACACCCUGGGUUCCAGGCGCCCAUCUGUCCAGGGGACCUUCAGUGCCAACACUGAAGAUGGAGCAGCAAAUAAGACGGACAGCCUGCCCUCUGGCACUCACAGCCCAGGUGGGAGACACAUCUGGAACAGAUGAGAAAACCAAGGCUCAGAAGAAUGGAUAACUGGCCGGCGCCACACAGCAGCGGGAAGGAGGACUGGGCUUCCGAGUCCCUAGCUGCUCUCUCCUGGUCCCCGCUGCCACGACCCUCUAAACCAUGAACCGCGAGUGCAAAAGGCAUCCCCCCGCAGGACACCCUACUCUCCCGCCCCCAAACCCACACGUGACCCUGGCCUGAUGGGGCAUCUCUGUGGAGCACAAAGGGGGGUCGCCAGGCAGAGAAAGAGCCCCCCAGGCGAGGAGCCGGCUCCACGGGCGCUUUUCUCCUGCUUUCUUCCUCGCUCAGCUCUUUGUUAAGCUCCCUUUCAGCUGAGCCGGCAGAGCCUGGGUGUUCUGCGCUGACAAUAAUUGCUGCGUCUAGACAGUGUCUGGUAUGAGCCUCCCUCUCCGGUGCUCGCAGGCCUCCCUGGCUCCCUUUCCCAGCCCUGCGGCCUGCCCCACACCCUCCCUUUCCCACAGCCCUUCCCCUCUGGCCUGCCUGUCCCCCGUCCUGCCUCCCUCCUGCAAGGACCCUCACUUCUCUCUCCCUCUCCCGCUCCCACCCUCAGGCGCACAUUCACCCUGUCCAUCCCCGAGGCCUGAAAUGCAGGGGACAGAGGUGUCUUUGCAUUUGGCUCUGGCUGGGAGACGUUUGGGGAGACUGAGCCCAGCAACACGCCCCCCCCCCCCCCCCAUCCCAGGGGCUGGGGACUGCUCACCUCACUGGACUCUGGGCCGAGCUGGGAGGCUCUGGGAUUCUUUCCAUCCAGGCCUGGAUGGGAACCCAGAGAAACCAGCCCCAGAGGGACCUAGGGUCAGUACAAGGAAGAACUUUCUGGUGACAAAGACCGUCAGACAUGGAUGGAGCAGUUUCAGGAGAUACAGGGGUGGGAGGUCAAUGUUCACAAGUUCUAAAGCCCAUCCCUGCCCUGACUCACAUCAGCAAUUCUGGAAGAUUCCCCAGAAGCUCCAGUCUCCUCGCUGGUGUCAGAAUUGAGGCCCUUGGAGUGAUCCUAACACAGUAAUGAUACCAUCCAGUGUUUGCUCAGCCCUUUUCCAGCUCCAACCACUGCAAAUCGUCCACAUAUCCACUUAUGUAAUACUCCCAACAGCCCUGGGAGGGAGGGAGGCAGGGCAGGAGAGAGAGAGAGAGAGAGAGAGAGAGAGAGAGAGAGAGAGAGAGGGAGAAAGCCUAUGAUUUGUCCCAUUUUACAGAUGAGGAAACUGAGGCCGAGAGGUUAAGUAACUUGCCUAAAGUCAAAGCCAGUAAGUGGAGGAGCCUGGAUUUGAAGCCACAGAGGCUGGCUCUGGAACCCCACUAACCACCAGUAAUAGGAACAGCUAAAUGCUUACUGAGUGCUGGGGCUGAGAGGAGCCCUUGGCAUGAACCAUUCCUUUGUCCUCACAGCACUGCUGGGAAGGACCGAGGGUUGCGCCCAUUGUACAGGUUAAAAGAGAACAGCCCAGGGCGGCGGGUGCAGCCAGAGGCGGACCUAACUCCGCAUCACGGGCUUGGCAUGGAGCAGAAGCUCAAUAAACGCUGCCAUCCCAUUCCCACUCCCGCCCUGGGCUUCCUUGAGCCCUUCCUGGCACACGGCCCCGGCCAGGCUGGGAGAGACAGAAGCCAACGUGCGUUCUGUCCAUGAGACCACGGCCCGGAGUGGGCGGGCCCGUCAGCCAGUGUCCAUCUGGAGGGGCUUCUGCUGAGGCCAGGGACCCAGGGCCUGGGAGUCAGGGGAGGGGCCUGCAUCCAGGAAGUCUUUCUGCAGGAGGAGGAGCCAGCCCUGCCCUGGAGGAUGAGGAAGAGCCAGCCGGGCCACGAGUGGACCAGCCGUGCAGGUGAGGGAGCCGGUGUGCUCCUGCAGGAAGCGGGCCUUCAGAGGCCGGCACAGGCGGCUCAGGGAGGAGGAGUACCAAGGGAGAAUCAUCUGGAACCUUUGCAGGAUGGUCUAGAAAGCAAACCUGGAGGCCAGGAGGCUGGGAGGAGGCCCCUGCGAGUGGCUCCUCCUUCCCAGCAGAUUCGUCCUCCCCUCCGGCCACUCCUCCCCCUGCAGAGCCAUUUUGAUUCUUCGCCUCCUCCCUGCUCCUGGGCUGCCAGGAACCUCUCACGUCCAGUCAGAGAUGGAAGGGGGAUGCUCGCCAUUCAUUCAUCACCCGGCCAUCGAGGCAGAUGUCAGCAGCGCAAGCCCCUGGGCCUGAGCAUCUCUCAGCCGCCAAGGCCGGUCCGGCAGAUCCAUGGAUGAGCUCCGUGCCCGCCACCGCGGCCUGCCUCGGGGCCCUGCGGCCAGGGGCCUGUGUCGCGGCUCCCCAGGCCUUGACUUGACUUGGAACGCCCAGCAUGGUCCUAUGGCAGGGGGAAGGGGGCUGUGGGCCAGCAGAGACAGCACCUCCUGUCUGUGGGUGAUGAAAUGCUGUCCUGGGAGGUUACGGGCCGGUGAAGGAGGGAAACAAGAGCAGCCGGUGACACAGCUGGUGAUGGUCCGCGGCAGGAACGGUGAAGACCCGCACACACAAGCUCCCCAUCCCUGACCCCAAAUCCCUGGUAGGCAGACAGUCCCCCACUCGGAACGUUUCCAGUUGUGGAAAGACACAUGCUACACAUUUCCCAGUCCCCCGCUGACGCAUGGGGCAGCCCCUGUAAUCAGACAUGAAUCUGUCUGCAGCAACGCAUAUGGACAAAGAUCCUAUCUGAUAAUAGACAAACAUGGUAAUUGACCGUACCUUCGCUAUGCCUCCCAUUGGCUAUUCAGUGUGAUAUGCAAAUUAACCGCCAACAAAGAUGGCGGCUAAUUUGCAUACGCAGGCAGGGCGGGACAGCGCCAUCCCGCCUGCCCCGCCACCAUCUGGGCCUGCUAUCUGUGACCCGGGGCGGCGGGCGUCCGUGUACAACCCGACCCGGGGUGGCCGGGCGGGGCAGCAGCAAUCCACUGGCCCACCCGGCCACCGUCCAGGCGUCUUGUAUGCGACCCAACCCGGGGCGGCGCCCCAACCCCCUGAUCGGCCCUGCUGUGUGCGCGACCCGGGGAGGCGGGGCAUGCGCCAAGGGAUCGGGCCUGCCAUCUGCCACCCGGGGAGCGGGCCUAAGCCAGCAGGUGGUUAUCUCCCGAGUGGUCCCAGACUGUGAGGGGGCAUAAGUGGGGCUGAGGGACACCCCCCAUCCCCCCACCCCCUCCAGUGCACUGGGCCUCUAGUUAUAAAUAAACCCGGACUCAAUUUCCUCCUCUCAAAAAUGAGGCAGCACAGCCCUCCCUGGUUUGGCUCAGUGGCUGGAGCGUUGGCCUGCGGACUAAAGGGUCCUGAGUUCAGUUCUGGUCAAGGGCAUGUGCCCAUGUUGCGGGCUCGAUCGCCAGUGUGGGGUGUGCAGGAGGCAGCUGGUCAAUGGUUCUCUCUCAUCAUUGAUGUUUCCACCUCCUCUCCCUUCUUCUCUGAAAUAAAAAUAUAUUUAAAGUAAAAACAAAGAAAGGAAGGAGGCGGCUCACAGGGUCGCCCUGAGAAGCUGGUGCCUCCCACGACACCAGCCGGCCGGCGGUGCCUCGGACACAGGCUCACGUCCUGUCCCAAGCCCUCUGCACUUUGUGCUCCUUUCUAGAACAUUCCUUCCCCAGACAUCUCGUGAGAUGCCUUUCAGGGCCCUGUGGCUCUGCUCAAAGGCCACCUCCUUAGCGAGGCUUGUCCUGACGGUCCUGUCUCCUCCCACCCCCCCACCCCC